UCAAGUUAUUAAGGGUGCAGGGCGGAUGCCUUGGCACUAGGAGCCGAUGAAGGACGUGAUAAGCUGCGAUAAGCUUCGGGGAGUUGCACGUAAACUUUGAUCCGAAGAUUUCCGAAUGAGGAAACUCACUUAGAGUAAUGUCUAAGUAUCAUUAAGUGAAUACAUAGCUUAAUGAGGGGAACUCAGGGAACUGAAACAUCUAAGUACCUGAAGGAAGAGAAAGAAAUUCGAUUCCGUAAGUAGCGGCGAGCGAACGCGGAUUAGCCCAAACCAAUAAAGUUUUCUUUAUUGGGGUUGCGGACAUAUCAUAACGAAGAGGUAUCGUAAUUGAAGAGGUUUGGAAAGACCCACCACAGAAGGUAAUAGUCCUGUAUGUUAAACGAGAAGACUUCAGAUAUGAUCCAGAGUACCACGGGACACGUGAAACCCUGUGGGAAGCAGGAGGGACCACCCUCCAAGGCUAAAUACUACCUAGUGACCGAUAGCGUAUAGUACCGUGAGGGAAAGGUGAAAAGAACCCCGGGAGGGGAGUGAAAUAGAACCUGAAACCCUGCACUUACAAGCUGUGGAAGCACAUUUCUUGUGUGACCGCGUACUUUUUGUAGAACGGGCCAACGAGUUACGUUAAGUAGCAAGGUUAAGCACUUAAGGUGCGGAGCCGUAGCGAAAGCGAGUUUUAACUGAGCGUUCAGUUACUUGACGUAGACCCGAAACCGGGCGACCUACCCAUGAGCAGGAUGAAGCGAAAGUAAAAUUUCGUGGAGGUCCGAACCCACGAGCGUUGAAAAGCUCGGGGAUGACUUGUGGGUAGCGGUGAAAUUCCAAUCGAGCCCGGAGAUAGCUGGUUCUCCCCGAAAUAGCUUUAGGGCUAGCCUCAAGGUGAGAGAUACGGAGGUAGAGCACUGAAUGUCCUAGGGGGUAUUGCACCUACCGAAGACUAUCAAACUCCGAAUGCCGUCAUCUUAUACUUGGGAGUCAGACUGUGGGUGAUAAGAUUCAUAGUCGAAAGGGCAACAGCCCAGAUCGUCAGCUAAGGUCCCUAAAUGUAAGUUAAGUGGUAAAGGAUGUGGGAUUGCACAGACAACCAGGAUGUUGGCUUAGAAGCAGCCACUCAUUCAAAGAGUGCGUAAUAGCUCACUGGUCGAGUGAUCCUGCGCCGAAGAUUUCCGGGGCUAAAACUUACUACCGAAGCUACGGCAUCAGUAAUGAUGGGUAGGGGAGCUUCCCAUACGGGUUGAAGCAUGACCGUAAGGACAUGUGGACAGUAUGGGAGUGAGAAUGUUGGCAUGAGUAGCGAGAUGUGGGUGAGAAUCCCACAGGCCGUAAACCCAAGGUUUCCAGGGGAAGGUUCGUCCGCCCUGGGUUAGUCGGGACCUAAGCUGAGGCCGAAAGGCGUAGGUGAUGGACAACAGGUUGAUAUUCCUGUACUACCGAUAACCAUUUGAGAGAAGGGAUGACACAGUAGGAUAAGCUAAGCACACUGUUGGUUAUGUGUGCCCAAGCAUUGAGGCAGUCAAAGUAGGCAAAUCCGCUUUGAUAAUGCUGGGAUGUGAUGGGGAGCGAAAUUUAGUAGCGAAGUAGCUGAUUUCACACUGUCAAGAAAAGUCUCUAUCGAGGUUAAAGGUACCCGUACCGCAAACCGACACAGGUGGGUGAGGAGAGUAUCCUAAGGCCAGCGAGAGAACUGUUGUUAAGGAACUCGGCAAAAUGACCCCGUAACUUAGGGAUAAGGGGUGCCACCAUCCGGUGGCCGCAGAGAAUAGGCCCAAGCGACUGUUUACCAAAAACAUAGGUUUCUGCUAAGUCGCAAGACGAUGUAUAGGAGCUGACGCCUGCCCGGUGCUGGAAGGUUAAGGGGAUCUGUUAGAGCAAUCGAAGCAGUGAACUUAAGCCCCAGUAAACGGCGGCCGUAACUAUAACGGUCCUAAGGUAGCGAAAUUCCUUGUCGGGUAAGUUCCGACCCGCACGAAAGGCGUAACGAUUUGGGCACUGUCUCAACAAUAGACUCGGUGAAAUUGUAAUUCCGGUGAAGAUGCCGGAUACCUGCGACAGGACGGAAAGACCCCAUGGAGCUUUACUGUAGCUUGACAUUGGGUCUUGGUACUACAUGUACAGGAUAGGUGGGAGGCUUUGAAACCAGGACGCCAGUUUUGGCGGAGCCAUCCUUGGGAUACCACCCUUGUAGUACUGGGACUCUAACCAUAGGCCAUGAAUCUGGUCUUGGGACACUGUCAGGUGGGCAGUUUGACUGGGGCGGUCGCCUCCCAAAAGGUAACGGAGGCGCUCAAAGGUUCUCUCAGUACGGUCGGAAAUCGUACGUAGAGUGUAAAGGCAAAAGAGAGCUUGAUUGCAAGACAUACAGGUCGAGCAAGGAUGAAAAUCGGACUUAGUGAUCCGGUGGUUCUGCGUGGAAGGGCCAUCGCUCAACGGAUAAAAGCUACCCUGGGGAUAACAGGCUUAUCUCCCCCAAGAGUCCACAUCGACGGGGAGGUUUGGCACCUCGAUGUCGGCUCAUCACAUCCUGGGGCUGUAGUAGGUCCCAAGGGUUGGGCUGUUCGCCCAUUAAAGUGGUACGCGAGCUGGGUUCAGAACGUCGUGAGACAGUUCGGUCCCUAUCCGUCGCAGGCGUAGGAAAUUUGAGAAGACCUGUCCUUAGUACGAGAGGACCGGGAUGGACGUACCUCUGGUGUACCAGUUGUUCUGCCAAGGGCAUGGCUGGGUAGCUAUGUACGGAAUGGAUAAGCGCUGAAAGCAUCUAAGCGCGAAGCCAACUUCAAGAUAAGAUUUCCCACCGUAAGGGUAAGACCCCAGAAAGACUAUCUGGUUGAUAGGUCGAAGGUGUAAGUGCAGCAAUGUAUUUAGCUUAUCGAUACUAAUAGGUCGAGGACUUGACCAA
RNAcentral lists this ribosomal RNA (2896 nucleotides) under Clostridioides difficile. RNAcentral describes it as "bacterial LSU rRNA". It matches the Rfam family "Bacterial large subunit ribosomal RNA". Lineage: Bacteria; Bacillati; Bacillota; Clostridia; Peptostreptococcales; Peptostreptococcaceae. The record is from RNAcentral.